Molossus molossus (Pallas's mastiff bat) is the source of this 198-nucleotide small nucleolar RNA. RefSeq annotates it as small nucleolar RNA SNORA74. The transcript has a single exon. The record is from RefSeq and is a predicted model, not a curated record. NCBI's taxonomy places the organism in Eukaryota, Metazoa, Chordata, Mammalia, Chiroptera, Molossidae.
CCCAGCAGUGGUCACCCUCCAGACAGAUGCAUUGCCGUGAUGGUUACACUGCUGGGAGAGGAAUGUCCUCUCUUUUUUCUCCAGUUGCCUCUAACAGUGUUCUGGUGGCAUCUGGCACUGGUGCAGGGUAGAACUGUGCAUCUUUAAGAUUGUGCUAAGCAUUCACUUUGGCUUAGUUCUAGUGUGGGAGCACACACA